Mus musculus (house mouse) is the source of this 1721-nucleotide long non-coding RNA. RefSeq annotates it as RIKEN cDNA 6430562O15 gene. The record is from RefSeq and is marked predicted. NCBI's taxonomy places the organism in Eukaryota, Metazoa, Chordata, Mammalia, Rodentia, Muridae. The transcript has 2 exons.
GGAUUUUCUUCCCUGACACAAACAGCAGAGCAUUUGGGACAGAGAGCUCACUGACAGUUUGAGUGCUCAGCACUGUUCUGGAAACCUGUCCACAGGCAGUGUCUCUAAUGGCCCUGCUGAACAGCACAAAGCUGCCAGCUAAGCGCCACAAAGGAUUCGUGAGUCUUAUCUCUGCUGAAGCUGUGACUGACCCAGCACAUUUGGUGUAGUGUAGAGAAAUGGCUGGUCACUUGCCACCCUGAGUGGGAAUCAGGCUGCUGUUGAGAAGCCGCUGGGGUGCCGUGCUGCCCCAGGGAACGGAACCGUGACAUCAGCUCAAGCAUGAAGUCGUAACAAUGCCACUGCUUUCCCAAAAGGCCACGGUCUGUGGGAAGGAACACAACUGCAAUUCUUGAUGCGAGUUUUUCAUGCCUUUGUGUGUGACUGAUGCAGGAAAAGGCUCAGUUUCUACUACGAAUCACCUGAAAGCGCUCGAGGUAUCGGGGAAGCUUGGACUGUUCUGGUUCCUCAGUGUCUAGCUGCUCCACCAGGUUUGCUGAGCCCAAGCCAUCUUCACCUUCCUGAGGCUGUGCCUCUGAAGUCUGGACAUCUGGAGACGUCACCACCUUCAGGACUCCAUCCAGCACAUCGAGCUGUAGGGCACAGGAGAGUCAGGAGGACAUCUGUUAUAGACUUGACUGUGUGCAGGCCAACUUCAAAGUGUGUGUUCCUUGGUUAUAAUGACUGAGAAAGAGCAUUAAUGAUAUCAGCAUAAUGUGCCAUGGGAGACACUGGGUUGAGGACCUCAGGACAGAAAUGAAAGCUGAGUGGUGAGCCUUGGCAUUUCAGAGUCAAGGCCACACAGAAGAGCAUCUCCAAGGGUGUAGGCUAGGCAGCUAGCCAGCUCCCAGGGCUUCAUGUCUCUCUGCUCCCUCCCUGCCAUUACCGGACGAUAACUGCACUCCUGGGCCUGGCUUUUUAAGUGGUUCUGGGGAUCUGAACUCAGCCACACUGAAAAUGUUUGUGGUUUCUUUUCAUCCUUUUAAACGGAAUAAAUACCAAUUCUGCACACAUACAGAAAGCAGCGGAAGGAGAAAGACCAUGGGAACAGAUGCCUGUGAAGCCUCCAUUUGACUGAGUGGGGUGGAAAAACAUACCACUUCUCUACCCAGCUUGAGGUCUUCAGGGGAGGAGGCCACCCUCUCCAUCACUUGGAGGGCUCUGUCGAGGUAGCCUGGUGUCCACAUCAGAGGCAUGCCGUGGUAUACAGCCCGCACCCCACGCUGCAGUUCCACCUUCCCUGUGGCCAAAAGAGCAACAAAGACUGAUCAGCCAUGCCUCCUCACUGGGUCUGCAGCCAAAGGCUUGGAAGGCCCCAGCCAACAGCAGCCUAGGCAAGGACCCUCACCACGCACACCUUAAAAGGAAGCUUGGUGAACUUGUGUUAUGUGUUUCCUCUGGCUGGAGAUUUACCAGGGCCCAUGAAUCAUUGGGCUGAGGAACUUUGAGAGUCUGACAGAGCUGUUCCUACAGAAGGCCACCCUUAAGACAAAAGAAAAUUAUACUACGUAUGUUUCAAGGCCAAAACCAUACCCAGAAAAAGCAAUGUCACAGCUUCCUACUCUGAGGACCCUGUGACUCAGCGGUGACUUUCCCUGCCGGGAAAUGUGUGACUUGUUUUGAAAAGUGUCAAACAUACAAUCUAUUUUCUUUAUGAAUAAGAAAAGGAACUGCUUCCCCCC